Molecule: long non-coding RNA, 2760 nt
Organism: Leguminivora glycinivorella
Lineage: Eukaryota; Metazoa; Arthropoda; Insecta; Lepidoptera; Tortricidae
Exons: 2
Source: RefSeq, a predicted model, not a curated record
UGAGGUAACCGAGAGGGGGUGGGCGGCACUCUCAGCGGGGAGCGGGAGUGGCCAUACUGUACGAUAGUACUCUUUCUUAUACUGUGGUUAAGGGUGUUGCUGUUAGCACAGGGAAGAAUGAUAUCGGUGUAAAUAAUACGACUAAUUACGAUAGGUAGUUUAAUAUGAACAUAAUAUACAAUGCUGAUGUUUAUUUAUAAAAGCAGGUAAAAACCGACGACACAUACAUCGUACGAUAAACUAGAACAGGUGCGAUGGGCCGACGCCGAUGUGACAAAAUUUAUAUUCGAUUUUUUAUCAAGCGAAAUUUAAAAUGUAAACAUAGGGUAAAAGUGCCAGUGCUCGACAAGCUAAUGCACAAUCCAAUAGAUGAUAUCCUUGCGUCACAUUUAUUGACAAUGACUUAAGAUUGAAAGUGGUAUCUACUGUUACAUUACAUACAUAGUCGAGCACUAGUACUAUUAGUUUAUGUUCUAAAAUACAUUUGUUGCCUAAAGUUCGCACGAUAGAAAAUAAAAUCUAAUAUCCGACACCUCACCCUAAUGUAUAACACGCAUUUCUUAACGGUACAGUCAGCAGCAAAAGUAACUCAAAUUAACAUUUUAAUAUGAUCACUGAUCAACGCAAAUAAAUCAUACUUAGUGCAGAUUUCCAUGCUUUAUUACUUUUAUUAGUUCUACUUUUGCUGUCGACAUUUUAAGUUAUGGUAAGACAAAUGGUAAGGCCUUUUAACCUUACAUCAUGAGUCAAGUGUAAGUCAAUGACAACAUUGAAAUAGAUUUACGAAUAAUUUUGAGAGUUUUAUUAAUUUCAUAAAUAACUUGUCAGGCUGAUCGUACAAUACAGAAUUACUUGACUUCGUGUAGAAAUGUACAGGAAAAUAAUGCUAUAAGUAAAUCUAACAAUCUCGAAGAUAAAAAUGCAGACAGGUAGGUAAUAAAAUUCAUAAUAAAUCAACGCCAUAAAGCAUAUUGUCAUAAACUUGACAUUCAAAAUGAUACUUUAUAUCGCUGAGUAGCUAGUUGUAAAAAAUCGUAACUUAAAAUACUUAUUGCAUCAAAUCACCGAAGUUCACUUCUUUUAUCCAUGUAUAACUAUCUGGAGCGUAGUACGUAUUGCUUCAAAGAUAUGUGACGGUAAAGUUAACCAAUUGGAACCCUAGGCCACUCUACAACCAUGUCAAAAUGGCAAGCAGUAAGAGAUUUCUUACAAUCUGAUUUAUAACGUCACUAUGACAUAGUUCCACAGUGGCCUAGGGUUCCAAUUGGUUGACUGUACCUCUGUUACUGGACAAGUAUACAUAGACUAGGGCCGGUUGCAUCAAACCGUCUGUCACCGUUAAAGCGUUCGUUAAAUAUUAUUGUAUGGGAAGUUCCAUAGACGUUCUGCUGCGCUGCGUGACGAUGAUGUGUCUGUCAAAUGUGGUUCAUGAAACUGGCCCUUAGCCAUGGAACACUUGCAAUAUCAUAAAUCGCAUGACCAAUCAAUUUAAUAUGUAAUUGAUCGUAUCUUCAUUUUCGCUUGUAAAAGCAUGCAACAGCAUGUUUACAUAGGUACAGUCAACCAAUUGGAACCCUAGGCCACUGUAGAACUAUGUCACAGUAACGUUAUAAGUCAGAUUGUAAGAAAUCUCUUACUCAUGAAGAAUAGAGAUUCUUACCUCUAUUCUCCAUGCUCUUACUGCUUGUCAUUUUGACACGGUUGUAGUGGCCUCUAGGGUUCCAAUUGGUUGACUGUACUUAUGCUGCUUUCAGUCCAGUGUCUUUUAAAAGUUUUUACUUUAAAAUGCAUAAGACUACUAAUAUAAAUUAAGUAAAACAUGCAUGAAAUCUCAUCAUUUUAUUGACAAUAAUACCCUUGACCGCCAGUCAGCCAUAGUCGACGUAGGAUACAGUAUAAAAUUAACCUUAAUACAUAAUAUAGUUCACUAUUGCGUACUAUAAGAUAAAGUAGUUGCGGUAAAAGGUAAAACUUAUCUGACCAUUUCACUAUCAUAUUAAUGUAACAAUAAAAAACCAAGUAGUUUUCUAUGUGUUCUGUUUAUUUACAUACAAAGCUGUUUAAAUAAUUCUACACAUUACGUAUACAUAAAAUGUCUCAAAAAUGUGUUUGUUUACCAAAGCUCUUGAUUUGCUUUUCAUGAGCGGAGUUCAGACAACUUAUAAAAAAGUAUUAGACAUGUUUACACAGGUAUAAAGUUCGUAAGUACUGCCGUUUUCUUCAAGUUUUAAAUUGUUACCUCGAUGUAAACGUACCUUUAUAAUUAUAACAGUCCACCCUUGUUCUUUAAAACAAAAUACAAUUACAUGAUAUCGAUAUUCUGGAAAUACAAUAUUUUUCAAGCUAUUGUUUAUUUAUUGCACAAUAUACACAUUUCGUUACUUUAUAACUAAUCGAAUAAAUCUUAACAUUAUGUAUCUGUCCAGGUAAAAAUGACCAGGCGGGCAAGCACGUUCUUAAGGUGCUUUUUUACCUGCACAUCCACAUAGCCGAAAACGCGAGCAUUUGACAUUCUCUCGCUUGACAUACACGUAGUAUACACAACAAUAAGUAGAAUUUAAGACUAAUAAUUGAUAGCAUAGAAAAAUCUAAAACAUGCGUGUUAUCCUUACAUACUCGUUUCGCCGAUAUGAACCUUAAACGAUUGACAAUCUUGACAUAAAGUGUAUUUUACAGCGAUUAUGUAGUCGCUGUCAGAUAUAUCGGAGCGGCCGGGCCGUUCAAAAAUACCUGAACACCUUGACAAUAGAGGAACACCUC